This 502-nucleotide ribosomal RNA is filed under the name uncultured bacterium. RNAcentral describes it as "partial 16S ribosomal RNA". It matches the Rfam family "Bacterial small subunit ribosomal RNA", at positions 30 to 523 of the family's 1533-position model. The record is from RNAcentral.
AUUGAACGCUGGCGGCAGGCUUAACACAUGCAAGUCGAGCGGGGUGAUGGUGCUUGCACUAUCACUUAGCGGCGGACGGGUGAGUAAUGCUUAGGAAUCUGCCUAUUAGUGGGGGACAACAUCUCGAAAGGGAUGCUAAUACCGCAUACGUCCUACGGGAGAAAGCAGGGGAUCACUUGUGACCUUGCGCUAAUAGAUGAGCCUAAGUCGGAUUAGCUAGUUGGUGGGGUAAAGGCCUACCAAGGCGACGAUCUGUAGCGGGUCUGAGAGGAUGAUCCGCCACACUGGGACUGAGACACGGCCCAGACUCCUACGGGAGGCAGCAGUGGGGAAUAUUGGACAAUGGGGGGAACCCUGAUGCAGCCAUGCCGCGUGUAUGAAGAAGGCCUUCGGGUUGUAAAGUACUUUCAGCGGGGAGGAAGGCGAUAAGGUUAAUAACCUUGUCGGUUGACGUUACCCGCAGAAGAAGCACCGGCUAACUCCGUGCCAGCCGCCGCCGUAA